Long non-coding RNA from Podarcis raffonei (Aeolian wall lizard), 828 nucleotides. RefSeq lists it as uncharacterized. NCBI's taxonomy places the organism in Eukaryota, Metazoa, Chordata, Lepidosauria, Squamata, Lacertidae. The transcript is spliced from 4 exons. The record is from RefSeq and is a predicted model, not a curated record.
UGUCUGCGCCUAACAUCUCCAUUUUUCUCAAAGAGCCUUUCCCAUCGUAAAAAUUCUUCUCGUUGCAAGAAAGAGCUUUGUAGGUUAUAAUAAAAUCCUUUGAAUGCUUAUAAAACUCCACAUAAAAUUUGACCGACAAAACAGCGGGCUAGUCCCUUAACCUUUCCAUUUACUGCUUUCUCUACCUACUCGAGUUGCUGGUUUUGCUCCCUUCCUUGUUGACAGAGGAGGAUGAAGCUGAAGAGCCCGGGUUGGUGUUUUCUUCCUCGUCUUCCGGGUCUACGCCUUGGUCGCCGCGGGAUGACAGCGCGGUGGGCUGGGAGUCGGUCUCCAGCUUGCUCUCGGUCUUCUGCAAACAGAUAGAUGUUUUGGAUCCGAUGUGCAGAGGGGGAAAAAUUUGGGAAGGCGAGAUGACGCGCUAUCCGUCUUAGUCGCUCUCUCCAGGACACGUGAUCCAAAGUAGAUAUUGUCAUAUAUCAGUUUGGAGCACUUAGAAGCGUAGGAGUGGUUCACUUAGAAGCCCAGGGGACUGGAUAAAGAUUCUUCAUCAUGAUCCAGAAAGCCAUGCUAUAAAGGCUUACAGCAUUUAGAGAAUAUUGACAGUUGAUAGAGGCUGCUGGUAUAUCCAGUAAAGUCCCCCUAAACAAAGGAUGCGUGCUUAAAACUCUUCAGUCUUUCAGAUGAUCUGGAGCACACAUCACACAGGCUCAUCAAACAGAUUUUGCGCCUGAAUUGACAACUUUUUCAUUUGUUUUUAUUUUAUUUUUUAAAAAAGGUCCUGUAAUUGAUCUGCAAAGAAAUAAAUAAAAAUGUUUAGUUUCCACCUGA